Molecule: non-coding RNA, 13215 nt
Organism: Cricetulus griseus (Chinese hamster)
Lineage: Eukaryota; Metazoa; Chordata; Mammalia; Rodentia; Cricetidae
Source: RefSeq, a predicted model, not a curated record
AUUUGCAGCAUGUGGUCUAUCAUCUAGAGAAGUCAGAGCAUUAACUCAAUGCAGGAGCUGAUGCAGAGGCCAUGGAGGAGUGCUGCUUACUGCCUUGCUCCUUGUGACUUGCUCAACCUGCUUCCUUAUAAUAUCCAGGGCCAGGAGUCCAGGGGAGGCACCAACCACAGUGAUCUGGGUCCUCCUACAUCAGUCAUCAAUCAGGAAAAAGCACCACAGUCCAAUCUGGUAGGGCAUUUUAUCAACUGACAUUCCUUCUUCAAAAAUGACUCUAGGUUGUGUCAAGUUGACAUUAACUAGCCAGCACAAAUGGUAUUGACAGGAAAGGGGCAAUGGGGGGAAAGCCCUUAGAACAGCUCACUUGGUGUCUUAAUUGUGUUUCUGUUGCUGUGAAGAGAAAUUUUGGCCAAGGCAACUUAUAAGCUUCAGAGAGUGAACCUGUGACCAUUAUGAUGGGAAACAUAGCAGUAGGCAGGCAGGCGUGGUGCUGGAGCAGUAGCUGGAAGCAUACAUCUGAUUCGUGAGGCAGAAAGUGCAAGAGAGCGAGAAAGCAAGAGAUAGACAGGCAGACAGACAGACACUGGGCAUGAUGUGGACUUUUGAAACCUCAAAGUCUACCCCCAGUGACAUACCUCCUCCAACAAGGCCACAUCUCCUAAUCCUUACCAAAAGAGUUCUACCACCUAUCAACUAAGCAUUUAAAUAUAUGACUCCAUAAGGGUCAUUCUCAGCCAAACCAUUACACUUGGAUUCUACUUAUUUAUGUGGGAUACAACUAUUGUUCCUUUGACAGAAAGUCCACAUGCAUAUGCUCAAUUUUGGAGGAAUGAGGGAUCCUCCCUUCUGCUGGCUGGUUCCCUGAUGUUGUGGAAUAAUGCUCUUGUAGACUGUAAAGAUUUGUCACUUGUAUUGGUUUAAUAAAACAGUGAUUGGCCAAUAGCCAGGCAGGAAGUAUAGGCAAGUCAACCAGACUAGAAGAAUUCUGGGAAGAAGAAAGGCAGAGAAGCAGUUGCCAGUCAGACACAGAGGAAGCAAGAUGAGAAUGCCUUCCUGGGAAAAGGUACCAAGCCAAUGGCUAAACAUAGAUAAGAAUUGUGGGUCAAUUUGAGUUGUAAAAGAGCUAGUUAGUAAUAAGCCUGAGCAAUAGCCCAAACCAUUUAUAAUUAAUAUAAGCCUCUGUGUGUUUAUUUGGGAUUGAAUGGCUGCAGGACCAGGUAGGACAGAACAGAAACUUCUGUAUACACCCUGGUUCAUCACUGGUGGGUGAAUGCUAUUCACAGCCUAAAGAACUGGAAAUCUGAACAACUGGAGACCAGCCUGCUCUAAAUGAAGUGGCCUUGUUUUGUCUUCUGAAACCAACAGCUUGCUCUUCCACUUCUUCAGUGUUGGGAUGCCCUCACUAGAUGUUAUUAGUAUGCUCUUAAGACUUCCCUGUUCCUAGAACUCUAUGUCAGAACAAUUCUCUAUUCUUUGAAAGUCAUGCAGCCUCAGGCACUUUGCUACAGUAUCAGAAUAUGAACCACAGCAGUGUUAAAUCCCUGUCAGCACUCCCUGACACCAGAGUUCAGUCUUCAGGAACUGCCUUGUUGCCUGAGAUUGGUUUCUGAUCUCACCGCUUGCUCUUCAGUCAUGCUUGCAUAGUUCUCAUGAUGUUGCCAAGUCCAGCAAACCUCAGAUCUUAAAUGUACUCAUUAGCUAUCCAUCUUCACCUGCUUCCAUUGCUGCUCCCUGACUUCUUCAGCAGUACCACCUGUUCCCUAAGACUACUUUAGAGGAUACACCUCUAGACACCACCCCAACCUUAAUCUAGUGGGAUAAAUCCCACUAGACAUCAGUGAGCAUAUUGUCUCCAUCAUGAAUAGCUCUUAAAAAGUCUAUUCUCUCUACUGUGUCAUUAGUUCAGACACAGAAAUGGGCUCUUGUAGGAAGAUACACAAGCAAGUAACCUAUUGUCCCUCAUACCCUUUAUUCUUGCUUUAGUUCCUCCCUAUUUGUCCUGUCCAUCAAGGCCAGACAAUCUUGAUUCAAUUUCUGUUUGAUUCCUGGUUUUAUCCCUGUACAAUCCCCUCUCCUAGGACCUGGAAAGAUGCCCUGAAGUUGUAGAUUGAAAAUGCAGAGGUUGCAUGUACACCUGGUUGCAAAGUUCCCCUUUGACCCCAAGCAAGUCCUUUAGCUGUCUACUGCCUACAUUUUCUUCUCUGUAAAGUGAGGAGAUGACCUGAAGUUUAAGGAAAUGGGUGUAAAGUUGGAGGCAAAGAGAUCUUCAAUGAAUAGUAGCUAUCCAUUUUUAACAUUAUCAUCGUGCCUUGGUGCAUAUGUAGGGGUCAGAUGACAAUCUUUAGAAGGAAUUCUUAUAUUCCACCUUGUUUGGGAAAGGGUCUCUUGAUCUUUUCUGUGCAUUCCAGGCUAGCUGGCCUGAAGGCUUCCAGAAACUCCUCUGUCUCCAGCCAUCUCACUGUAGGAUUGUUGUAAUUACAAAUGCAUGCUGUCAUGUCUGGCUGUACUUGGGUCCUAGCAAUCUAAAUUUCUUUAUGUUUGUGUGGCAAGUGCUUUUACUCACUGAGCUAUUGAUAUGAGUGUUCUGUGCCAGAAACAUACAGGAAGAUUUUUGUGUCUUUCCAGAAUAUCAGAAUUUAUUGAAUAACAGUAAGUUCACAAGGCUGUUUAAAGAUGGUCAAAUGACAGGAUUCAUCAUAUGAUAGAAUAUGCCUACCUUAGUGGCUCAGCAGAGGCAAAUGCAAGUUCUUUACUCCAGUCUUAACCACUAACUCUUAUAUCGCACAGCACACAGCAACUAUACCUAUGUAUCUCUCUUUCUAUCUAUCUCUAUAUGAAUUACAGAAUGAAUACACGUAAGAGACUACAGCAGUAUUCAAAAGGUUUCAGAAGUGGGCAGAAAAAGAGUUGGUAUAGAUACGAUAACGACUAGACCAGUGUUGGAAGUCUAGUUAGAGAGCAGAGCUACAGUACUGGUUCGACUGUGAGGCUGAAAAGGUAGAACCUGGUCCUGAACAGAAAGUUGGUCAGAAACAGGAAAGAUCAGGCAAACAGGCAGGUGGGCAGGCAAUUGGGUGGAUUGAGUCAACAGCAGGGGACUAAGUCCAGUCAAGGAGUCCUUGGUACUUGAUGCACAUACCAGUAUCAGAUGAUAGGUUGAUUUUGGGCUAUGUCAUCUAAGAGUUAGUCACAUUCCUUGGUCUGGUGUGUCAGGUAUGUUCUUGGGCCUGGUUUCCCUGAUAGCAUUUUAGUGCUCCCAUAGUUCCAUUCCUCCCCAGUGAAGUUCCUUUCUGUUCUCAGGUGGCAGUCAUCCUUCUCACUCAAAAUUUAGUCGAAUGCGGCCUGUGAAUCAGAGUCUCCUAGGGUAACUAAUGCUCAGCCUGAAAACUGUUUAAUCACAUAAUAUGGAGUGACUUUGAGCAAGGCAUUGCCUGACCUCAACAGCCAUCUCCCAGCCUGAUGUUCUGAAUACUUUUUAUUUGCCCAGUGCGCUCUAUGCUUUUCUGCUUCUGUGUGCCUUGUUGUGGUCAAAAUUCUCCCAGUUCUUCAAAGUACAUACUUCUCAUCACCCCAGUGGAACCUCUUCCCUUGCUCCCAAGGGAGCUUUUCUAAAUAAGUGUGUUACUUAGAACAGCUACCUUGCAAGUCAUUCUGCCUGUCAUACUCCACUUGCUUCAGGCACUGGUGUCCAUGGAUGCAACCAGUUCAGGUCUAUCCUGUGAUGUUAGCACAAUGGCAGAAUCACUUUGUCACCCAUCUUUGGAACGUCCCCCUCCUUAAGUGACACAUGACUGUAUUUAAUUUCCCAUCAAUGGUGACCCUGUUUCUAUAAUCUGGGAUGUAGCCUCUGCUCUAAUGUCUCUCAUGACAGGAUAAUUUUGUCUGUUCCUUACUUCAUAUGGCCCACAGAGAACAGUUGGCACUCUUUUGUAUCUAUGUUCUUAUGUUCUCCUGGUAGUUUUAGUUAGGACUCAUCCUUGUGGGGUGCAUGUUUUAGUGUUUUGUUCCUUUUUUCAUUUGGCUAAAUAGUACUCUAUUAUGUGAAUAUGCCACACUCUGCCCAUCCAUUUACCUGGUAUUUGACAUGAGUUAUUUCUAAAUUUUAUGAAGAAGGCUGCUAUAAAUACAUUUGUAACAGUUUUUUUCUGCUUUCAUUCCUCUUGACAAAGCAGAAUUGCCAAGUCAUAGCAAUGAAGAAGCAACACAACAUCUGCCAGUAGGGCCUUGCGUUUCUGUUAGAACUGUCUGGCAGAAUGGAAUCACUUUAUCACAAGUUCUGCCCAAGUCUUCAUUUUCUGUGCAUUCUUUUCUUUUUAAACUCAAUUCUGAAUCCUCAAAUUGCCAACCAUUAGCCUCUUUUUAUUAAAUAUUUAAGGACCUAGGUGAGUAACAAACUUGCAAGUGUCUCUUAUGGGGUAACUUUUUAUUUGCUUAUGCAGGAAAUUCAAAAGGUGUGGGGGUGCUGAGAGGAUCUCAGCAUGUUUUUAAUAUCCCUAUAACCCAAAGGCAGAUCAACAAUGUUCAUUUUACAGACAGAGAAGAUGCCAUCUAGGGUGACAGCAAGGAAAGCAAUGAAUUCUUCAUAAUAAUCUAUCCAAAUGCCACCAUAUUGGUCUGCACUUCUUACGCUGGGGUGUUCACUAUAGAACAGAUGGAGAGUCACCUGACUCAGUAGGCCAGGUCCCAGGUCUGUAAGGCCAUUGUCACUUUUUUGUUUCAUCUCAUUGCCCACCUCAUGCCCCACCCUGUUCCCUCAGGGUUAUCUUGAUGCUACCACUUAGCCACCCCUCACCCCACUGUGGUCUAUUCCAGGUGCUGGGUACAUGGCUGGAAUAUACCACCCACAAAGGCUACAGAGAAUCACUGCUUUGCUUUCACUGGUUCUCAGACCAGUGGAAUCUGGUCCUUCCUAGAGUUAGAUGAGUAAGCCCUUGGGAAAUUAGCCAAAGUGUUAGGAGAAGAAGAUUAGUAACUCACUGGUGAGACAGAGGACAGCAUCAGACAAUUGGAAGAGAAGAAGGCAUGUCUGAAUUGAAAUUUUUUUUUGUGUGUGGUGGAAUGGGAUGCUGAAGGCCAGUGCAUCCCAAACAACAAUAGGAAUUAUUGUUCUUUGAAGUAAGUUAUUUAUGAUCAGAAAGAUUUUUUUUCCCUAGUUGGUCUUCAAAGUGGUUACCUCUCCUUGGUAGAGAGACACUUGUGUUUUAUUCUCUUUCUCUAUGCUGUAUGUAUUUUAAGAAUUUUCCUAAAAUUGCCACAUGGUACUUUUAAAAAUUAAGGACAUUUUUCUUAAAAUUGGAGAUGAUAUAGCUAUAAGAAGUGAUACAGAGUCAUCCCAUAUACUAUCUGUUAGUCAGCUCUCCCCAACACAAACACCUUGAAGUACUACAGUACAGUGUCACCACUGACCCUGAAGACACAGUCAAUAUGCCAUAUGAGACUCUCAAGUUUCUCCUUUUCAUCACAGUUGCCAUGUCCUCCUGGACAUCCUCCUCAAUCCUGGAGACCAUGAAUCUGACCUUGAUCACUUCAUGAAUGUUACAUGCAGUGUGGGCUGAACUACUCUAUAUUCUCACCAUCAAGGUUGCAGUCCAUAACUGGGGGAAGCCAGAGCAGGAGCUCAAGACAGGAAUCUGGAAGACAGGAACCUGAAGCUAAGACCCUAGAGGAACACUACUUGCUGACUGCUGUUCCUCAAACCUUGUGAAAUACACACCCAUCUAAGGGCUUUGUGGAUACAGGCCCCUACACCUGCAAUAUCUCUGCUGGAGAUCCACACGAAGACUCCUGAUAUCCAUGAGGCUGUUGCUGUCUUUGGACUCCUGAAUCCAUCCACUCCACAUUCAAGGGAACACAUAGCUCUUUUCUAUGCCUUAAGUCCUCAAAGCACAUCUCAACACCUGACAUAUUGUUGGCUCUCUUGUUUACUCACUGCUUGUCUAUGUCUACUUUCAACAUGUCAGAUCUGUGUCAUCAAAGGCUUUGUCUCUUGAAUUCAGUAUUGUGCUAACUGGUACCAAGUAUAGACCCUGACUCAAUGAUUAUUUGUUGAAUGGCUGAAUGAAUGUUUGAAGUGAAUGUUGAGCCCCAUUCACUGUAACCUCUUUCCCUGAAGCACAGGUCUUUGCUCCUUCAUGUGGACACAUUUGUUCCCUGCCCCUCCACUAGUUCUUUAAUAAAAAUGGUUCAGUUGGCUCAUCCCAGUUUAUUUAUACUCCACCAUGUGGUCGGUUUGAACUGAGGAGUAUAUUAGUUUUCUGUCAAGUUUGGUUAAGUUCCAGCAUAAGAGUCAUGGCUGCAGGAGUAGGAAGCUGAGAGUUCACACCUUCAAAUGAAAGAACAAAACAGGAAGAGGACAAGACUAUAAACAUUAAAAGUCCAUCCCCAGUGACAUCAAGAUCCUGCAUCAAGGUCCCAUCCCUCAACAGUUUCACAACUCCCCACAACAGCGCCACUAACAGGGGACCAAGUGUUCCGAGCUUAUGGAGGACAUUCUUAUUCAAGCCAACACUAGGUAUUUGGGCACUUAAAGCAAUUCAGCUGCUUUCUGACAGUUUGUCCCUUUUUCAUGGACUUCAGAUUCACAUAGUCCUGAUGGUCCCAUCCAUCUCCCUGACUGAUAGGCAGAAAUCUGGGACUUUGAACUUGAGGAACAGAUUCCUAUCUUGGAUCUGUCAAUUUCCUCAUCUGUGAAUGAAUCAUUCCAAAGCCCUCACCUGGAGUGGCUAACUUGAGAAACAACAUACAGCCAGUGUUUAACACAGCAUCUGGCAGAUAGUAAAUGUCAUGAAUACCUAAACUCUCUUAGCCUUCUGUCUUGUGUCAACUUUCCACCCCAUCUCUUGAGCAACAAGCCUCCUCCCUUGAUCUUUUUCUUGUACCACAUGAAGUUUUGGCAAAGCCCUUCUUAUCUCCCUUGCCCUGGGGGCAGCUUGCUGAGAGAGCCUCCCCAAACACCUGUAUAUACAAUGUCUGAAAUUACAAUAAGAGAAAUUUGGCAGGAGACCUAAAGUUAGUUCAAUUGGUAAAAAUGACUUAUAAGCCUCAAGACAGUGUAUUGCUUUGGAUCACUGGCCAUUGCGUUGAAAGAUUAGCAUGAAUUAGGUUACAGAUAGCUUAAGAAUCCCCUCUUUAUUAAGAGGUACGAUUCCAGCAUGCUCUGAUUAGAAAAAGGUGACCAAUUAAGAAGCCCUGAGGAACAGUGUGUCUCCCAUGAGUCUGGAGUGUUCACAUCUGAUUAUCUUCCUAUAGGUCCUGUUCGUGUUAAUGUGGAUGGCAGGCAGGGACAAAGUCAGACAGCACAGUCAAAUGGGAUGAUGGAGGAAGUUUGAUGAAGGGGCUUCUUAAAAAGGUGCUGGGAAGACCGAGGUAAAAUGUCUUAGUUAACUUUCUAUUGCCACAACAAAAUCCCACACCAAGGCAAUUUAUAAAAGAAGAAUUUAAUUUGGAGCUCAUAGUCCCACAGGGUUAGUCUAUGACCAUCUUGACAGGAAGGAUGACAACAGACAGGCAGGCAUGGCUCUAGAGCAGUAAUUGAGAGCUUACAUCUGAUCUAUAAGCAGGAGAUGGAGAGGGUGGGGAGAGCCAGUCCCCAGUGUCACACUUCCUCCAACAAGGCCACAUCGUCUAAUCCUUCCCAGAUAGUUCUACAAACUAGGGACCUGCCAUUCAAAUAUGUAAACCUAUGGGGCCAUAUCAUUCAAACCAACUAAAAGUGUUGAUCUAGCAGGGUGGUAACCCAACACACACACACACACACACACACACACACACACACACACACACACACACACACAAACACUUGGGAACAAAUGCCCCUCCUUGAUCACAAUUUGCCCUCCUGUUUCCAGUCACUGCCCACCUUUGUACAGAUCUCGGGAAAAAAUGAUUGCUGAACUCACAGAGAUGGAGGUCAGUCUCCAAAAUCCCAGGACAGGAUGGAGAAAUGGAGGGAGGAUCUUAAGGAGCCAAUGGGGACAUUCAGUUAGGUUUGCUUGAUAAUGAGGGUAAGCGAGAGGGCUUUCCCAAAAUGUUUUUGUAAUGUUGACAGCCCUCAAAAUAGGCAAAAAUCACUUCUAUUUGAUUAAAGAUAGAUCUUUUAUUUUUAACUAUAUGUACAUAUGUGUCUAGGGGCAUGUAUACUUAUGAGUAUGGGGGCCUGUGAAAACCAGAGAGGAUGUUGGAGUCCCUAUUGCUGAAGUUAAAGGCAGUAGAGAACUACCCAACAUGGAUGCUGGAACCUGAAUUUCAGUUCUCUGGCAAGGGCAAUAUGUGAUCUUCACCACUGAGCCUUCUCUCCCGGCCCUGCAUGGAUUACUCUUGUUAAAUAUCUUAGCUUUUAUUGGUGGUUCUGGGAUUGUGAGACCUCUUCCCUUUGUUUUGUUUAUUGCACAGCCUAUAGUGAUCAGUGAUAUUUAAAAUUGAUUUGUGACUAUACAAACUCAUUUACAUGAAGUUACACACUAAAUCAGGGUAUGGUGGCAGAAGAUACAACAUUGGUAACUUCUGGAAAGGGGUGUGUGCUGUCUGUGAAGUGGCCCAAGGGACCCUGGUAACAGGGUAUGUAUAUUGGCCAGACUCCAUUAAGCCACACAUGUAAGACUUAGGUAUUUUAUUGUAUGCAAAUUACACCUCUAGAAAGAGAAGAAAAAAUGGUAGGUUAUGCCCUUGAAAGAGGAGCAGUGUUUGUGUGCAAUCGUCUUUCGUGUUUAUACAAUCUAUAUGAUCAAGUGCAAACCAGAUCAGCAUUGUCUCAUGUGCCCUCUCUACAUUUGCUCCCGGUACUCAGUCUUUCAAGAGGCAAAGAUAGGGGAGGGGCACAGACGUGUCUUGGUGAAAGCUGCAGACAAUUACCCCCAGUUGAAAAUAAACAUAAUAAAACUAUAGAAGUCUAAUUUUUGCAACUUGAGAGGGUUUUUCUGUAGCUAUUCAUUUCUAAUCACUCUCACCUAAUAAAUGAAUAGAAUAGCUAAUGUGAUUAGACUAAUUCACUAUUCAUCAGGAAUAUUAAAUGAAUAGAAUAUUUUGCAUUUCACCAGUCACACAUCUUGAGUAUUUACCUGAUAUUACAAUCAGACAUGUGUUAGAUUUUUCCCUGUGCUUCUGGGCCAUAGCUCAUGGAUAAUUACAGUGUUUAAUUAGACCCACACAGCACUUGGCUCUCCAGUGUGGAAGGAAAUUACAGGAUGUAGACAGAACAAAUCAAGGCUGUAAAGGAAAAGUAGCCCUUUGCUAUAUCCCCUUGGAAGAAUUAGCAGAGGAAUGAGCAACAAACUUUGAAUAGAGAAAGUUGUUUUCAAUCAAGAUUUUGCAAGGACAUUUUUGGAAGCACAGUUAGUGGCCUUUAGAUGGGAAACAAUAAGGUACAGAAUCUUUUCAUAAGGUAGAUUUUUGCCCCCUCAUCAUUCUUAAAUGCCUGAUAUAUUUGAAGAUAUCCUAGAACUUUUAGUUGGUGGAAAGCUACUUCUAAGCAAGGAGAAUGGGUGGCUAUAGUUUUGGCUUUGUGUGUGUGUGUGUGUGUGUGUGGGGGGGUUCUUCCAGAGACUCGGGCAUCUAUUUCUUCUUACUCCUUAAUCUUGAAAAUGCAAUAAAGUACUGUGACAGCUGAGUGACUCGUUUUUCCCUAUUAAAUAUGACAAUGUCAUAGUGGAAAGGAGAAGGCUAAGAUAGCCUUGCAAUUCUCACUAGAACAUGAACAAAUUCAAUCCAUACAACAUCAUGAUGAGGACAGUGGAAGAAAGCAAGUGUGGAACUCCCUGUGGGAGGCAUGUGCUUGGUGUAUACGAAGGCAUUGAAGAUGGUGUUGUGCCAAGUGGAGGGAGAAGAGCAGUGUUGGGGCAGGAGGCUAAGAGAAGGUGACAGGCAGCCAGAGGGCAGAUCAGGGAGCAGAGACAAGAAUUUUCUUGUCUAAAUGAGAUUGGAAACCCUUGAUCCAUUUUUGCAGAGAAGUGCAUUUAUACUUUGAAAGGGUUGUUCUAGCUGCUGUGCAGAGGACAGACUGACAUGGAAGGAGGUGGGGAUAAAGGUAGAAAGAAAUAGGCUAGUUUACUGACAAAGCCCAGUGGUGACUUGCUAGCAGUGGAGGCGGACAGCUAUUACACAUCUUGCCCUGUAGAGCUAAGGAUCAAACCCAGAGCUCUCCAUGUUAGACAAGAUCCUACCAGUGACUUACAUGCUUACAGUCCUUUGCACAUAUUUUGAAGGAAGAGUCAUAUUUAGAUGAACAAGCCCUGGGGUAUGCGUGGCAAAGAAGAAUUACAGAUGACUCCAGGGUGUGUCAUCUUCAAAAUAAGUAGAAUAGAGGAGUCACCCCUCUUGAUGGGGGAAGAUGUAGAUGAAUGGGUAGGGAAAGUGUCAUAAUCAAAACUUGGAAGCACUAAGUUUGGCAUUCUAAUUACACCCUAGGGGAGAUAUCGAGGAAGAAGCUGGAAUUCUGGGGAGAGAAUGUUUUCCAGCUGGUUGCAGAAGGUGUCAGAACACAAUCCAGCUGUCCGGGAGAAACGAACACGCCUGUGGGAACUUCCACUGGAGUCCAGGACUAGGAACUGUGGGAAGCCUUUGGGGAUUGAGAAUAGUCAAUGACCAACAGCUGGCUUCUAGUCUCCUGAUCUUGCAUGACAUGAGUGUAGUAACUGUUACAAGAAAGGCAAUUGGGACACCUGGUUUGCUGACUUUUGACAUUGCAAACACCACAACAUUGACAUGGACAAGGCUCACAGUGGAGACCUGUGCAAUCGAGCUAAAAGGUAGGGUAUGUUGUGAACAGGGGAAGAACUGCCUGGUGCCUAAGGAGUAACUCAGGACUCGACCACUCUUGGUUGGCAUUAUCUUGGAAUAAUUCCAGAUCCCAAAAGAUUUGACUUGCCUGAAGAGAUGAAGUGAUGCAAGAGAAUGAUGGAUUUAAGUGACAAUCUUUGUGUUGUGGAAAUUCCGAGCACAAGAAAUUAUUUCACCAAGUAGCAGAAGUGGACAAGGACGAUGCUGUUGGGAGUGAGAGAGUGCUAAUCUGUUUGGUGUGGGAUGGACCUGCACUGUAUAAAAAUGCUGAGCAAACCAGAGAGCAAGUCGGUAAGCAGCUUUCUUCCAUGGUUCCUGUGUCUGCUCUUGCCUUGGGUUCCUGUCUGACUUCUCUUGAUGAUGGAAGGACUCUAAGCCCAUGGGAGUGAAGCUGUUCGUGGAAGUCUGCACCCAGGAGUCUUUGGUGUUGACCAAUAUCCCAUACCGUGAAGUCAUCAGUGCUGGCCUCGAAGUCUCAUGAUCAGAUACUCUCAUGCACAAAACCAAUGUCUUCCCAAGUCCCUGUGGAUCAUAUGCUUCUGGCUAUGACAUAUUCUAUAAAGCUGUGGGGUGCACUUUGAGGCUACUGCUUAAGUGAUACUCAUUUGGAACAAAAGUAGGGGAGAAGAGAGAACCCUGAGGAUGGAAGCAUGUCUCAAAACAAUAAAAGGAAGAGAAAGAAAGCUGAGAAUCCCUGGGAUCUGCAAGAAGAAGGGAGAAGUCACAGUAAGUGUGCUGUCCAGAUCCCAGACCCUGCGUCUCCUCCAGAACCUGCCAAUGCCAUCGAUUUCUAUUAAUCUGAUGGAGCAUUCAUUACCCCAACAACCAACCUGCCACUGUUUGCUUAGCUUGCAUGAAAUCAGAGCUCCACAAAAAUCAAUGUGUGAAAUCUUUGUAUCAACAUAUAAGAAAUCCAAAGGUUUGUGCUGGUGGUAGCAGGAUUUUAGACAGAUUAAAACUGACAAACUGGCAUGUUCCGUGGUGGUGGCAAUGAUGAGGUGUGGCACCGUGUCAAAGGUUUGGAAAACAGCCUGCUAAGAAAGAAACGAAUGACUGUUGCAGGGGAGGGAGAAUGAUGCAUCUGGAUUAUUGAGAGGACAUUUGGAUGAUGUUCUGAUGGCUUAUGUUUCAGAAGCGACUUGAAAUCAGUAGGGAGAUUUCAAGCUCUGGCAGAGCACAGCUGUCCCCUAGGAACUCAUGAGUAAAGAUGAGCGGUUAAUGGCUUGAGCAAGGUCACCGUGGGCAGAGGUUAUGCCAGGACAAAAUGGUGGAACCUUGGUACGUACUUUCAGCAGUCACUGAACAUGCCACAGGCAGAGGACUCACGUCUUAUUGGUCCCAUAGCCUCUUAUCCCAAAAAGUGAGAGUGGGGACUCUUUCCAUUCAAACAUCUAGACGCCUGUGUGAGGAUCUUGCUUCCUCAGGAGCCUAAGGAGGGUGCAGGACUAGAAGUUCCACACGGCUAACUCUGUGCACUUCAAUUUGUAAGACACGUCUUCACCCUGACCUCAAGAGUCCUGUAAACAAAGGCAAUGGCUAACAUAAUGAAGAAGAAAAACCCCCUUUGAAAAGCCUCCUCUCAGCAUCGAAGCACAGCAUUCCAAAACCGUGACAGAAUUUUUUUUUUUUAAAUUUUGAUUCCCAUGUCUCACAACAUACUGUAGGCCAUCUGCUUCCAAUAUCAGGGGCCGUGGAGUGUAUGCUUCAGGAAUGAAACUCUUCCUUUAAGAAUAGUAGCCAAGAAAGGUAACUAGCUUGCUCAGGAGGGAAAAUAAAUCCCCAGCAAACAAGUCAACAGUGGGCCUGGGGAUGUAGCAUUGUAGCUGAAUGCUGCAAUGAACACCACUCACUAGUGCUGAAAAUAAAAGCCGACAGUACACAUGUGUCAAAAUCAAACUGAAAUAAACUGGGGUGAAGCAUGGAAGACGAUGUAGAGGAAAGAGGCAAAGCAAUGGACUCAGGCUUGAGUUUGAAUCUUAUACCUGGCACACACUGGUUGUAUAUUAAUCAGUGUAGGACUCUAGAGGAGUUUUUUUUCUUCAUUUGUAUUUGGUGAGAAAAAAGGUAUGAAAGGUCUAACACUUUGUCUAAGACACAGUCAGUAGACUGUGUGUGUUUUUCUAUCAGAUCAUUUGUCUAUGCCCACUUCUCUAAAAAUGUACAUUCUAGAAACAAGAUGGUUGGAAACACAUUGACUAUCAAUGGAUGCAUGGUACAUCCAAGCCAAAACUUUUCACUUCCCAGAGUAAUAGGGCACAGCUGAGUAAGUACAGCUGACAAAGGUCUGUUGUCACUUGUCACUGUCACUUGACGGGGUGAGUUGUCAUUUGCCAUUGGCUGACAGACCAGCAAACCCUUGUCUGGUUGGUUCCUUUUGUGAUGGGUGUCAGUUUGGUUACCUGUCUACCAACACAAUAAAAAUCACCAGCAAACUUAGUAAUGUAA